This 460-nucleotide ribosomal RNA is filed under the name uncultured bacterium. Its description in RNAcentral is "partial 16S ribosomal RNA". It matches the Rfam family "Bacterial small subunit ribosomal RNA", at positions 338 to 795 of the family's 1533-position model. The record is from RNAcentral.
CCUACGGGUGGCAGCAGUGAGGAAUAUUGGUCAAUGGGCUUACGCCUGAACCAGCCAAGUCGCGUGAGGGAAGACUGCCCUAUGGGUUGUAAACCUCUUUUGUCAGGGAGCAACGCCGGCUACGUGUAGCCGGACUGAGAGUACCUGAAGAAAAAGCAUCGGCUAACUCCGUGCCAGCAGCCGCGGUAAUACGGAGGAUGCGAGCGUUAUCCGGAUUUAUUGGGCGUAAAGGGUGCGUAGAUGGCAUAGUAAGUCUUUUGUAAAAAUGCUGGGCUCAACCCAGUAGGGCAAAAGAUACUGCAAAGCUAGAGUAUGACAGAGGCAAGUGGAACUACAUGUGUAGCGGUAAAAUGCGUAAAUAUAUGUAAGAACACCAGUGGCGAAGGCGGCUUGCUGGGUCGAUACUGACAUUGAGGCACGAAAGCGUGGGGAGCAAACAGGAUUAGAUACCCUAGUAGUC